This 492-nucleotide ribosomal RNA is filed under the name uncultured bacterium. RNAcentral describes it as "partial 16S ribosomal RNA". It matches the Rfam family "Bacterial small subunit ribosomal RNA", at positions 29 to 507 of the family's 1533-position model. The record is from RNAcentral.
AGUGAACGCUGGCGGUAGGCCUAACACAUGCAAGUCGAACGGCAGCACAGUAAGAGCUUGCUCUUACGGGUGGCGAGUGGCGGACGGGUGAGGAAUACAUCGGAAUCUACUUUUUCGUGGGGGAUAACGUAGGGAAACUUACGCUAAUACCGCAUACGACCUACGGGUGAAAGCAGGGGAUCUUCGGACCUUGCGCGAUUGAAUGAGCCGAUGUCGGAUUAGCUAGUUGGCGGGGUAAAGGCCCACCAAGGCGACGAUCCGUAGCUGGUCUGAGAGGAUGAUCAGCCACACUGGAACUGAGACACGGUCCAGACUCCUAAGGGAGGCAGCAGUGGGGAAUAUUGGACAAUGGGCGCAAGCCUGAUCCAGCCAUACCGAGUGGGUGAAGAAGGCCUUCGGGUUGUAAAGCCCUUUUGUUGGGAAAGAAAAGCAGCAGGUUAAUACCCCGCUGUUCUGACGGUACCCAAAGAAUAAGCACCGGCUAACUUCGUG